RNA transcript from Erinaceus europaeus (western European hedgehog), 2185 nucleotides. It is a transcript of the gene named solute carrier family 25 member 42, with no coding region annotated. The transcript has 9 exons. The record is from RefSeq and is a predicted model, not a curated record. NCBI's taxonomy places the organism in Eukaryota, Metazoa, Chordata, Mammalia, Eulipotyphla, Erinaceidae.
GGGCAGCUGCCGAACAUGGUGCACAUGGUGAGCGGCUCCCCGGGGCCCCGAGUGUCUGGCUGCAGGGCUGCGGCCCAGAGGGGCCAUGGGACCCCAGUGACCACACGGGACGGGAGCAGCCGGAGGGACCACCGGCAGGUGCUCAGCUCCCUGGUGUCCGGGGCGCUGGCUGGUGCUCUGGCUAAGACCGCGGUGGCGCCCCUGGACCGCACCAAGAUCAUCUUCCAAGUGUCUUCAAAGAGGUUCUCUGCCAAGGGAGCCCUGCGGCUGCUGUACCGCACUUACCUGCAGGAGGGGCUGCUGAGCCUGUGGCGGGGGAACUCGGCCACCAUGGUGCGCGUGGUGCCCUACGCCGCCAUCCAGUUCAGCGCCCACGAGGAGUACAAGCGUCUGCUGGGCCGCUACUACGGCUUCCGGGGGGAGGCCCUGCCCCCCUGGCCGCGCCUGCUGGCGGGUGCGCUGGCUGGCACCACCGCGGCCUCGCUCACCUACCCCCUGGACCUGGUCCGCGCCCGCAUGGCGGUGACCCCCAAGGAGAUGUACAGCAACAUCUUCCACGUGUUCGCACGCAUCUCGCGAGAGGAGGGGCUGCCCACCCUGUACCACGGCUUCGCACCCACGGUGCUGGGAGUCAUCCCCUACGCCGGCCUCAGCUUCUUCACCUACGAGACGCUCAAAAGCCUGCACCGCGAGUACCGCGGCCCCCGGCAGCCCUCGCCCCUGGAGCGCAUGGUGUUCGGGGCCUGUGCGGGUGUCAUCGGCCAGUCGGCCUCCUACCCGCUGGACGUGGUGCGGCGGCGACUGCAGACGGCGGGGGUGACGGGCCACCCGCGCUCGUCCAUCGCGGCCACUCUGCGGGCCAUCGUGCGGGAGGAGGGCGCGCGCGGCCUGUACAAGGGGCUCAGCAUGAACUGGCUCAAGGGGCCCGUGGCCGUGGGCAUCAGCUUCACCACCUUCGACCUCACGCAGAUGCUGCUACAGCGCCUGCAGGCCUAGCACCCCGGACCCAGGCCUAGCUCCCCCAGACCCAGGCCCAGCCCCCCAGGCAUAGGCUCCCCCAGACCCAGGCCCAGCCCCCCCAGGCAUAGGCUCCCCCAGACCCAGGCCCAGCCCCCCAGGCAUAGGCUCCCCCAGACCCAGGCCCAGCCCCCCAGGCAUAGGCUCCCCCAGACCCAGGCCCAGCCCCCCAGGCAUAGGCUCCCCCAGACCCAGGCCCAGCCACCCAGGCAUAUGUCCCUCUGGACCCAAGCCCAGCCCCCCAGGCAUAGGCUCCCCCAGACCCAGGCCCAGCCCCCCAGGCAUAGGCUCCCCCAGACCCAGGCCCAGCCCCCCAGGCAUAGGCUCCCCCAGACCCAGGCCCAGCCCCCCAGGCAUAGGCUCCCCCAGACCCAGGCCCAGCCACUCAGGCAUAGGCUCCCACAGGCCCAGCCACCCAGGCAUAGGCUCCCCCAGACCCAGGCCCAGCCACUCAGGCAUAGGCUCCCACAGGCCCAGCCUCCCAGGCAUAGGCUCCCCCAGACCCAGGCCCAGCCACCCAGGCAUAUGUCCCUCUGGACCCAGGCCCAGCCCCCUCCAAGUAUAGGCCCCCCCUGCCCGGACUCAGGCCUAGCCCCCCAGUGCCCCAGGUCUAGCCCCCCCGUGCCCCAGGCCUACACCCGGAACCCCAGGCCUAGCCACCUCUGUGCCCCAGGUCUAUCCACCCCUGCCCCAGCCCCUCAGUGCCUCAGGCUGAGCCCCCCAAGGCCCCAGGACUACUCCCCCAAUUUACCCAGUGUCCCCAGGACUAGGCUGUACCCUCCCCACCCCCACACAGCCUGGCCUGGGGGGCCCCCUCCCUCUGUCUCCUGCCCUGGUGUCGCUGCCCCAGCUGUGACCUGGGGGACGCCUCUGCCAGGGGACAGCUCGGGGAGGGACGUCCCCACUGGGGUCGGGCUCCACCCAAACCCUGUUCCUGGGAACCGGGGGCUCCUGCUAUGUGUCCCUCCUUCCUCCCGGGCCUGGAGCCCUGGGCCCUUGGGGGACAGUCUGGGGGGGCAAAACAGGGCUGGGCGGGGGCUCCCGGUGCCCCCACCCCGCCCCAGGGCCUCCCCCGAGGCUGCCAGAGGAGGCGCACACUCUGUAUAUGAUGUUUAUAUAUUUUAAAGAUUUGUGCCAAGAGAGUAUAUUUAAUAAAAAGUAAAAUGAC